Molecule: ribosomal RNA, 216 nt
Filed under: uncultured bacterium
Lineage: Bacteria
Description: partial 16S ribosomal RNA
Rfam family: Bacterial small subunit ribosomal RNA
Source: RNAcentral
ACGCUCGACACCUACGGGAGCAGCAGUGAGGAAUAUUGGUCAAUGGACGCAAGUCUGAACCAGCCAUGCCGCGUGCAGGAUGACGGCUCUAUGAGUUGUAAACUGCUUUUGUACGAGGGUAAACGCAGAUACGUGUAUCUGUCUGAAAGUAUCGUACGAAUAAGGAUCGGCUAACUCCGUGCAGCAGCCGCGGUAAUCUGAGCGGGCUGGCAAGGC